GUAGCUCACUUCUGUUAUCAACAACGUCAAGCUUCAGAAUACCCUUGUUUAAAUUGAAUAAGUGGUUUUCAAAAGCGCCGCGAACUAUGUAUUUCUAAAUAUAUUUUCUUUUCGUUAUUUCUUUGUUAUUUGUUUUUUAUUUAAUUGAAUAUUCGUGGUUUACUAAUAGUUGUUCCUAUUAUUAAAAUAUUUUGUAUUAUAGUGUGUGAAAAUAUUAAAAAGAAAUGAAUAAAAUAAAAUGAAAAUUAUUUUAUGAUAGAAUUUAGUAUAUUUAAUAAAGCUAUGCCAAGAUUCCGUUGCGAAUGCAACGGAUAUAUUACAGAACAUAUGUUUCAUAAAUUCUACGCUUUUUGUUGAUACUUCUAAAGAGCGACCUGCUAAUUAUUUAUCGUCAGCAACAGGUCAUACUCUCUUUUCUUGUCUAUCCGGAAGUCAGUGCACAUAUAGAAUAAUAAUAUAGUGUCUUAUAAAAUAAUAAAUAAUAUAUCAUGUAUAUAGGAUGUAUUGCAUAUUAUAUUUUUAUUUUUCAUAGAAAAUUUUUUUUCCCCAAAUUUUAUUAUUUAGUGAAUAAAUAUAUUAAUUUUAUGUAAUAAAUUAUUGAAAAUAUAAUAAUUUGCGAUUGUUAAAUUUUUAUCAAUAAGGUAUAAUAUAAAUAUAAAAUGAUUUUUCUAUGACAUUUGAAAAGCCUAAAAUUCCAUGAUAUAUUUAAACCCAUGUGAAAUGGGAACAGAAUUUUUAUCCGACAAUCAUGACUGGCAUGAAAUUGUGACUAACAAAAGAGAACAAUGGAAAAAUGAUCGGAAGGUGUAGUCAUAACUGCAUAGCACUGUGUUGCGGCUCAAAAUACGCUUCGUAUACGAACUGACUAUUGCUUCGUUCGAUACGAACACGUGUUCUCGAUGCGGCUACUAUACGAUAUUGUCGCAAAAUGACAUGUGGGCCACGGUGCGGCAGAAUGUGCGCGGACGAAGCAUAAGGUCUGACAGUCGAGGGACGGGCAUGGAGCUCCGCUUUAUCGUGAGCCAAUCCGAGAGCUCUGACCUUGAGUAACUCUAGAGAGAGAUAUAUUUAGCUGUGAGCAGUUCGAGGUGCUGCUAGCUAGCUCUCCCUUACACUCUAAAGUCUCUCUUUAGAGUAGAUACUCGCAGCGGUGGAUAUUAUAACGAGGGAGUUUCGUCAAGGGAAACUCCAGUCACAGAGUUGUCCUUCUAUAUCCUUUUGAUAGAUUAGAGUUCAAAAUUGUUACAAUUACGAAGAGAGAAAGAUAUUAAAACUAAAAAAUUUAAAAAAAUUAAUUUUCUUUCGUAUUUUAUUCAAAGUUCAUAAAAUUUUUUAAAGUGAUUGAAAUAAAUGAAAAAAAUCAAAUUGUUACGUGAUAUUAAAAUUUUUAAUCUGUUAAAGAAAAUUCUUAAAAUGUUAUUUAUCAACUUUGAUGUUAAAUAAAAAAAAAACAUUGCAAUUUUUUAAUAAAAAAUCUUUCUUGCUAUUAACAAAACAAUUUAAAGUUCCUAUAAAAAUUAAAAUUUUAAUUUUUUCUAUGAAUUGCGACAAGUAUAAAUUUCUAUUUUUUAAAUCUUUUUUUUUUUGAUUUUUUACAUAAAUAUUUGCAAAUGUUUGAUUUUUGUACAUUAAUAAUUUUCUUUUUAAAAUAAUUUUAAAUAUUUUCUAGUCUCUGUAGACUGUUAUUACAGGACUAUCUACUUACUAACAAGGAUGUUGCGCGUGAGCAACUUUAAGAAGUUGAAAGGACAUUUGAUUAUUUUGGAAUGUUGUAUCGUGAACAGCUAGGUGAUGAUGAUGAGUUUAAAACCAGUUCUCCUUGGAUGCUUUGAGGGGCCAAGCAUUUCAUGAGAUAUUCAGGAUUACUCGCCCCCGUUUCCGUGAAUCUUUGGAGCGUUAUGAGACAAUUAGACAUUUCCAAAUUAUAGCUUACUUCUGACAACUAUCUCCGUUGUUCAUUUAUAAACUUUCCUGCAAUUUGAGAGCAAUUAUAUGUCAAAAAAAAAUUAUACUAUAUAUAUAAUAUAUUAUUUGUUAUAAGAAAGAUAUAAAAUAUUAUCAUCAUUACAUAAAUAUUAUAAAAUAUAAUUUUUUUAUGUAUUAUAUUAUUAUUAUGUAUUGUAAAAUAAAAGUUAAACUAUCGAAUGAA
This is a long non-coding RNA of Apis cerana (Asiatic honeybee), 2149 nucleotides long. RefSeq lists it as uncharacterized. The record is from RefSeq and is a predicted model, not a curated record. NCBI's taxonomy places the organism in Eukaryota, Metazoa, Arthropoda, Insecta, Hymenoptera, Apidae.